GAAAAAAAUAUAUAUUUAUAAACCUGUAGCUUCUAGCUGUCAUUAAAGAUUAAUGAUACAAAUUGUGAAUGUGUGGUGAAUAUAAAUCUUUUAACUGAUAAACCAUGAGUUCUUUUUUGUUGAGGUUCUGAAACAAUUGUGUUCCGAUUCAUCCCUAGUGCGUGUAUGAAGACAUGUUGUGAUGUACCUGCACAUCUGAAGACAAAUAUCUAAUAUUUGGGCCAGAUUUUCCAGCCAGCUUGUCUUCAGGCAGUCCCUUAAGAGUGUUCUCUAUGGAAGGUGCAGUAUGCUGAAUUAUGUUGGUGAUCUGGUCUUGUGAAGUGUAACUGUCUGUCAAGAAGUUAGGAUGAGAUUAUUGGUGCUUUGUGGAAUCUACCAACAAUUUUUGGGCUGACUGAUGAGUUGACUUGGGCCAGGGGAUGCACUGAAUGCCAUGAAUCUGUCAAAUGGGGGAGCCCCUGUGACUGUCAGAGGUGGCAAGAGCGAGGAGGAUCAGCUACAGAGAGAAGGGAGAGGCCAAAGAGGAGGGAGAGAGCCUGGCCCUUUGCAAGACUGUUAAGACUCCCUGUUAGAAUUAUUACUUUAGGUCACAGUGAAGCAGGGACAUGUGUUAAAGGACCGUGUUGUCCUUCAGUUACUCUUUAAACCUAUGGAUGAUAUGGGAAGUAGACAAAAAUUUCAUACGGGUUUUGAGCAGCUGGAUUGUCGUCUUUGUUUUCUAACACAUUUACCAAGCCAACCUGAUGUAAGAAAUGCCCCUUAGUCUAAUGGGAAGCUGCAAAAAUGUUUAAGUUGUAAAUGAGGAUGAUACAUUGCAGCAAAAAGCGUUGUGCAAAGCUGACAGCAUACCAGUUUUAUCACUGGCUUUGCCUUACCAGUUGUGGCACAAGUGAGGGGUUGUCAGAAGAGAUGGGAGUUGCCAAGAAUACUUAAUUCUCACUCAUUUUCUUCUGAUCGAGACCCAUGCAGUGAAGAAGGGAGAGGGGUGAUGCCUGAAAAACAAGUACUCUUGAGUCCUAAGAAGUGUGGACUCAUCCUCCUAUCCUGUGGAUUGAUUUUUGUGGUUAGAGAAAGAUACAAGUGCUGUACCUCCAUUAAAAUACAUCUCCAAGCAAAAUGCAUUCAACAGCAUAAAUAAUUAAACACCAUAAACAAAUGACAAAUAAAACAGCCUAAUAGCAGAGGAUGUAGGACA
RNAcentral lists this long non-coding RNA (1195 nucleotides) under Athene cunicularia (burrowing owl). Its description in RNAcentral is "lncRNA (ENSACUG00000003655.1)". Lineage: Eukaryota; Metazoa; Chordata; Aves; Strigiformes; Strigidae. The record is from RNAcentral.